UUUUGUUUAAAAUAAAUUUUUUUAUUUUAUUUGAUUUUGUACUUAAUUAUUCCCAUCAUAUCAUGCAAAUAUUCUUUUUUAAAGAAUAAAAGAAAUUAAAGAAAAUCUGCAGAGAUCAUUAUUUUAUAUUAUAUUAUAUUAAUGCUUGUAUAGCAUGUCCUUUAUUUCUUCUUUAUUAAUGUAUUUUUUUCCAACAUAGUAGCGUGCCAACGGUUAUCGUCCUCUGCAGAAGCAACCAAUUAAGGCCUUGAAAACACGAUCUCUACACUUGCAGCAACAUCCCCUUACUGGUACUGAAGAACUAUCCAACAACUAUCUUGAUAUAGCUAUCACUCCUCUUGGAUAUUACCUGAACUUCAUCUUGUUCUUGAG
This 372-nucleotide unclassified non-coding RNA is filed under the name Hevea brasiliensis (rubber tree). The record is from RNAcentral. Lineage: Eukaryota; Viridiplantae; Streptophyta; Magnoliopsida; Malpighiales; Euphorbiaceae.